UAUCAGCAGCAGUGUUGCCAAAUAAACAUAACCAGUAAAUAUUUCAGCAGAAUGUUAAACUCUAUUGUUCUUUCUUUAAUAGGUCCAUGAUUAGACUUCCUGUUUUACAUGAUGUCCCAACAUGUGUUGGAAUGGUAACUUCAGUACCACCUGAGAGCUUGGAGUCUGCCUUUCUGUGAAAGGCAAACUCCAUGCUCUAGAGGUGGUACUAAUGUCCCUAACUCUCAACACAUGUUGGAACAUCUUUGUGGAGGAGGAAGUCAUUGAUCAGUGAGCAGCA
This is a long non-coding RNA of Strigops habroptila (Kakapo), 280 nucleotides long. RefSeq lists it as uncharacterized. Lineage: Eukaryota; Metazoa; Chordata; Aves; Psittaciformes; Psittacidae. The record is from RefSeq and is a predicted model, not a curated record. The transcript has 2 exons.